GGAAGAUGCUGCUAAAUGGAUGGCAACUGGUCUCGAAAGCCAGGGUACGGGCGACCGUAGGGGUUCGAUUCCUCCAUCUUCCGCCA
Molecule: transfer RNA, 86 nt
Filed under: Oscillatoria sp. SIO1A7
Lineage: Bacteria; Bacillati; Cyanobacteriota; Cyanophyceae; Oscillatoriales; Oscillatoriaceae
Description: tRNA-Ser
Rfam family: tRNA
About the family: Transfer RNA (tRNA) molecules are approximately 80 nucleotides in length. Their secondary structure includes four short double-helical elements and three loops (D, anti-codon, and T loops). Further hydrogen bonds mediate the characteristic L-shaped molecular structure. tRNAs have two regions of fundamental functional importance: the anti-codon, which is responsible for specific mRNA codon recognition, and the 3' end, to which the tRNAs corresponding amino acid is attached (by aminoacyl-tRNA synthetases). tRNAs cope with the degeneracy of the genetic code in two manners: having more than one tRNA (with a specific anti-codon) for a particular amino acid; and 'wobble' base-pairing, i.e. permitting non-standard base-pairing at the 3rd anti-codon position.
Source: RNAcentral